This is a long non-coding RNA of Hibiscus syriacus, 153 nucleotides long. RefSeq lists it as uncharacterized. NCBI's taxonomy places the organism in Eukaryota, Viridiplantae, Streptophyta, Magnoliopsida, Malvales, Malvaceae. The transcript is spliced from 5 exons. The record is from RefSeq and is a predicted model, not a curated record.
AUAUGAAAUUCUCAAAAAUAAAAAGCCUAACAUUACAUUUGCAUAUUUAUUAUUUACCUCAAUCGCUCCCAGAGAAAUACAUUCUUCGGACCAGGCAUGUCAAGAUCGUGGAACUCUCUCAAUUUAGCUGCUAUAAGGGAAGAUAUUUCUGGG